GUGCUCACUGUGGCAGCGCAUAUACUAAAAAACUGGAACGAUGCAGGGAUUAGGACGGCCCUUGUGUAAGAAUUACACACCAAUUCAUGAAGCUUUCCAUAUUAAA
Small nuclear RNA from Myotis lucifugus (little brown bat), 106 nucleotides. The record is from Ensembl. Lineage: Eukaryota; Metazoa; Chordata; Mammalia; Chiroptera; Vespertilionidae.